This 78-nucleotide transfer RNA is filed under the name Camelus dromedarius (Arabian camel). RNAcentral's name for it is "tRNA-Leu". It matches the Rfam family "tRNA". From Rfam's summary of the family: Transfer RNA (tRNA) molecules are approximately 80 nucleotides in length. The record is from RNAcentral. Lineage: Eukaryota; Metazoa; Chordata; Mammalia; Artiodactyla; Camelidae.
AUUAGGGUGGCAGAGACCGGUAAUUGCAUAAAACUUAAGAUUUUAGACCCAGAGGUUCAAUUCCUCUCCCUAAUAUGU